RNAcentral lists this ribosomal RNA (253 nucleotides) under uncultured bacterium. Its description in RNAcentral is "partial 16S ribosomal RNA". It matches the Rfam family "Bacterial small subunit ribosomal RNA", at positions 524 to 776 of the family's 1533-position model. The record is from RNAcentral.
UACAGAGGGGGCCAGCGUUAUUCGGAAUUAUUGGGCGUAAAGCGCGUGUAGGCGGCUUGGCAAGUCGGGUGUGAAAUCCCUCAGCUUAACUGAGGAAGUGCGCCCGAAACGGCUUUGCUUGAGUGCCGGAGAGGAUGGCGGAAUUCCCCAAGUAGAGGUGAAAUUCGUAGAUAUGGGGAGGAACACCGGUGGCGAAGGCGGCCAUCUGGACGGUAACUGACGCUGAGACGCGAAAGCGUGGGGAGCGAACAGG